This 241-nucleotide ribosomal RNA is filed under the name Kocuria sp. WN036. Its description in RNAcentral is "partial 23S ribosomal RNA". It matches the Rfam family "Bacterial large subunit ribosomal RNA", at positions 2698 to 2925 of the family's 2925-position model. The record is from RNAcentral. Lineage: Bacteria; Bacillati; Actinomycetota; Actinomycetes; Micrococcales; Micrococcaceae.
CGGACGAACCUCUGGUAUGGCAGUUGUACCGCCAGGUGCACCGCUGCUUCGCUACGUUCGGAAGAGAUAACCGCUGAAAGCAUCUAAGCGGGAAGCUCGCUUCGAGAUGAGAUUUCCACGCACCUAGUGUGUGAGAGGCCCCCAGCUAGACCACUGGGUUGAUAGGCCGGAGGUGGAAGCACGAACCAACGACGUGUGCAGCCGACCGGUACUAAUAAGCCGACAACUUACACCACACCCC